GCUGGCGGCAGGCCUAACACAUGCAAGUCGAGCGGUAACAGAAAGAAAGCUUGCUUUCUUUGCUGACGAGCGGCGGACGGGUGAGUAAUGCCUGGGAAUAUGCCUUAGUGUGGGGGAUAACUAUUGGAAACGAUAGCUAAUACCGCAUAACGUCUUCGGACCAAAGAGGGGGACCUUCGGGCCUCUCGCGCUAAGAUUAGCCCAGGUGGGAUUAGCUAGUUGGUGAGGUAAAGGCUCACCAAGGCAACGAUCCCUAGCUGGUCUGAGAGGAUGAUCAGCCACACUGGAACUGAGACACGGUCCAGACUCCUACGGGAGGCAGCAGUGGGGAAUAUUGCACAAUGGGGGAAACCCUGAUGCAGCCAUGCCGCGUGUAUGAAGAAGGCCUUCGGGUUGUAAAGUACUUUCAGUCGUGAGGAAGGCAUUGUAGUUAAUAGCUGCAGUGCUUGACGUUAGCGACAGAAGAAGCACCGGCUAACUCCGUG
This 485-nucleotide ribosomal RNA is filed under the name uncultured bacterium. RNAcentral's name for it is "bacterial SSU rRNA". It matches the Rfam family "Bacterial small subunit ribosomal RNA", at positions 35 to 507 of the family's 1533-position model. The record is from RNAcentral.